Molecule: ribosomal RNA, 505 nt
Filed under: uncultured bacterium
Lineage: Bacteria
Description: partial 16S ribosomal RNA
Rfam family: Bacterial small subunit ribosomal RNA
Source: RNAcentral
GACGAACGCUGGCGGCGUGCCUAAUACAUGCAAGUAGAACGCACAGUUUAUACCGUAGCUUGCUACACCAUAAACUGUGAGUUGCGAACGGGUGAGUAACGCGUAGGUAACCUGCCUGGUAGCGGGGGAUAACUAUUGGAAACGAUAGCUAAUACCGCAUAAUAUUGAUUAUUGCAUGAUAAUUGAUUGAAAGAUGCUAUUGCAUCACUACCAGAUGGACCUGCGUUGUAUUAGCUAGUAGGGGAGGUAACGGCUCACCUAGGCGACGAUACAUAGCCGACCUGAGAGGGUGAUCGGCCACACUGGGACUGGGACACGGCCCAGACUCCUACGGGAGGCAGCAGUAGGGAAUCUUCGGCAAUGGACGAAAGUUUGACCGAGCAACGCCGCGUGAGUGAAGAAGGUUUUCGGAUCGUAAAGCUCUGUUGUAAGAGAAGAACGGGUGUGAGAGUGGAAAGUUCACACUGUGACGGUAUCUUACCAGAAAGGGACGGCUAACUACGUG